Molecule: ribosomal RNA, 472 nt
Filed under: uncultured Latescibacterota bacterium
Lineage: Bacteria; Pseudomonadati; Candidatus Latescibacterota
Description: bacterial SSU rRNA
Rfam family: Bacterial small subunit ribosomal RNA
Source: RNAcentral
UUGACGGGACCGCACAAGCAGCGGAGCGUGUGGUUUAAUUCGAUGCUACACGAAGAACCUUACCAGGGUUUGACAUGUAAGUGGUAGUGAUCUGAAAGUGAACGACCCUUCGGAGGCACCUGCACAGGUGCUGCAUGGCUGUCGUCAGCUCGUGUCGUGAGAUGUUGGGUUAAGUCCCGCAACGAGCGCAACCCUUAUCCCUAGUUGCCAUCAGGUAAAGCUGGGAACUCUGGGGAGACUGCCGGUGAUAAACCGGAGGAAGGCGGGGAUGACGUCAAGUCCUCAUGGCCCUUACAUCCCGGGCUACACACGUGCUACAAUGGCAGGUACAGAGGGCUGCGAAGCCGCGAGGUGGAGCGAAUCCCAGAAAACCUGUCUCAGUCCGGAUUGAAGUCUGCAACUCGACUUCAUGAAGGCGGAAUCGCUAGUAACCGCGAAUCAGCAGGUCGCGGUGAAUACGUUCCCGGGCCUU